CCUACGGGAGGCUGCAGUGAGGAAUAUUGGUCAAUGGGCGCGAGCCUGAACCAGCCAAGUCGCGUGAAGGAUGACUGCCCUACGGGUUGUAAACUUCUUUUAUAAAGGAAUAAAGUGAGGCACGUGUGCCUUUUUGUAUGUACUUUAUGAAUAAGGAUCGGCUAACUCCGGGCCAGCAGCCGCGGUAAUACGGAGGAUCCGAGCGUUAUCCGGAUUUAUUGGGUUUAAAGGGAGCGUAGAUGGGUUGUUAAGUCAGAUGUGAAAGUUUGCGGCUCAACCGUAAAAUUGCAAUGGAUACUGGCAGUCUUGAGUACAGUUGAGGUAAGCGGAAUUCGUGGUGUAGCGGUGAAAUGCGUAGAUAUCACGAAGAACACCGAUGGCGAAGGCAGCUUACUAAACUGCCACUGACGUUGAGGCUCGAAAGUGUGGGGAGCAAACAGGAUUAGAUACCCGAGUAGUC
This 460-nucleotide ribosomal RNA is filed under the name uncultured bacterium. RNAcentral describes it as "partial 16S ribosomal RNA". It matches the Rfam family "Bacterial small subunit ribosomal RNA", at positions 338 to 795 of the family's 1533-position model. The record is from RNAcentral.